RNAcentral lists this ribosomal RNA (517 nucleotides) under uncultured bacterium. RNAcentral describes it as "bacterial SSU rRNA". It matches the Rfam family "Bacterial small subunit ribosomal RNA", at positions 992 to 1509 of the family's 1533-position model. The record is from RNAcentral.
AGAACUUUCCAGAGAUGGAUUGGUGCCUUCGGGAACUCUGAGACAGGUGCUGCAUGGCUGUCGUCAGCUCGUGUUGUGAAAUGUUGGGUUAAGUCCCGCAACGAGCGCAACCCUUAUCCUUUGUUGCCAGCGGUUAGGCCGGGAACUCAAAGGAGACUGCCAGUGAUAAACUGGAGGAAGGUGGGGAUGACGUCAAGUCAUCAUGGCCCUUACGAGUAGGGCUACACACGUGCUACAAUGGCGCAUACAAAGAGAAGCGACCUCGCGAGAGCAAGCGGACCUCAUAAAGUGCGUCGUAGUCCGGAUUGGAGUCUGCAACUCGACUCCAUGAAGUCGGAAUCGCUAGUAAUCGUGGAUCAGAAUGCCACGGUGAAUGCGUUCCCGGGCCUUGUACACACCGCCCGUCACACCAUGGGAGUGGGUUGCAAAAGAAGUAGGUAGCUUAACCUUCGGGAGGGCGCUUACCACUUUGUGAUUCAUGACUGGGGUGAAGUCGUAACAAGGUAGGCGUAGAUGA